CCUACGGGAGGCAGCAGUGGGGAAUAUUGGGCAAUGGGCGCAAGCCUGACCCAGCAACGCCGCGUGAAGGAAGAAGGCUUUCGGGUUGUAAACUUCUUUUUUCAGGGACGAAGCAAGUGACGGUACCUGACGAAUAAGCCACGGCUAACUACGUGCCAGCAGCCGCGGUAAUACGGAGGCGGCAAGCGUUAUCCGGAUUUACUGGGUGUAAAGGGCGUGUAGGCGGGACUGCAAGUCAGAUGUGAAAACCACGGGCUCAACCUGUGGCCUGCAGUUGAAACUGGAGUUCUUGAGUGCUGGAGAGGCAGGCGGAAUUCCUGGUGUAGCGGUGAAAUGCGUAGAUAUUAGGAGGAACACCAGUGGCGAAGGCGGUCUGCUGGACAGCAACUGACGCUGAGGCGCGAAAGCGUGGGGAGCAAACAGGAUUAGAUACCCUUGUAGUC
This 443-nucleotide ribosomal RNA is filed under the name uncultured bacterium. RNAcentral describes it as "partial 16S ribosomal RNA". It matches the Rfam family "Bacterial small subunit ribosomal RNA", at positions 338 to 795 of the family's 1533-position model. The record is from RNAcentral.